Molecule: ribosomal RNA, 506 nt
Filed under: uncultured bacterium
Lineage: Bacteria
Description: partial 16S ribosomal RNA
Rfam family: Bacterial small subunit ribosomal RNA
Source: RNAcentral
AGUGAACGCUGGCGGUAGGCCUAACACAUGCAAGUCGAACGGCAGCACAGGAGAGCUUGCUCUCUGGGUGGCGAGUGGCGGACGGGUGAGGAAUACAUCGGAAUCUACUCUGUCGUGGGGAAUAACGUAGGGAAACUUACGCUAAUACCGCAUACGACCUACGGGUGAAAGCAGGGGACCUUCGGGCCUUGCGCGAUUGAAUGAGCCGAUGUCGGAUUAGCUAGUUGGCGGGGUAAAGGCCCACCAAGGCGACGAUCCGUAGGUGGUCUGAGAGGAUGAUCAGCCACACUGGAACUGAGACACGGUCCAGACUCCUACGGGAGGCAGCAGUGGGGAAUAUUGGACAAUGGGCGCAAGCCUGAUCCAGCCAUACCGCGUGGGUGAAGAAGGCCUUCGGGUUGUAAAGCCCUUUUGUUGGGAAAGAAAUCCAGCUGGCUAAUACCCGGUUGGGAUGACGGUACCCAAAGAAUAAGCACCGGCUAACUUCGUGCCAGCAGCCGCCGCCG